Molecule: unclassified non-coding RNA, 345 nt
Filed under: soil metagenome
Description: partial contains 5.8S ribosomal RNA, internal transcribed spacer 2, and large subunit ribosomal RNA
Rfam family: 5.8S ribosomal RNA (bases 1-120)
Source: RNAcentral
GAUGAAGAACGUAGCGAACUGCGAUAAGUAAUGUGAAUUGCAGAAUUCAGUGAAUCAUCGAGUCUUUGAACGCACAUUGCGCCCCCUGGUAUUCCGGGGGGCAUGCCUGUCCGAGCGUCAUUGCUGCCCUCAAGCCCGGCUUGUGUGUUGGGCCGUCGUCCUCCUCCCGGGGGACGGGCCCGAAAGGCAGCGGCGGCACCGCGUCCGGUCCUCGAGCGUAUGGGGCUUCGUCACCCGCUCUUGUAGGCCCGGCCGGCGCUUGCCGACACAUCAAUCUUUUUUCCAGGUUGACCUCGGAUCAGGUAGGGAUACCCGCUGAACUUAAGCAUAUCAAUAAGCGGAGGA